RNAcentral lists this ribosomal RNA (258 nucleotides) under uncultured bacterium. Its description in RNAcentral is "partial 16S ribosomal RNA". It matches the Rfam family "Bacterial small subunit ribosomal RNA", at positions 333 to 607 of the family's 1533-position model. The record is from RNAcentral.
GACUCCCCACGGGGCGCAGCAGUGGGGGAUAUUGCACAAUGGGGGAAACCCUGAUGCAGCGACGCCGCGUGUGGGAAGACGGUCCUCUGGAUUGUAAACCACUGUCCCCAGGGACGAAAAUGACGGUACCUGGGGAGGAAGCUCCGGCUAACUACGUGCCAGCAGCCGCGGUAAUACGUAGGGAGCGAGCGUUGUCCGGAAUUACUGGGUGUAAAGGGAGCGUAGGCGGGGAUGCAAGUUGGGUGUCAAAACUACCGG